GAUGAACGCUGGCGGCGUGCCUAAUACAUGCAAGUCGAGCGAACAGACGAGGAGCUUGCUCCUCUGACGUUAGCGGCGGACGGGUGAGUAGCACGUGGAUAACCUACCUAUAAGACUGGGAUAACUUCGGGAAACCGGAGCUAAUACCGGAUAAUAUAUUGAACCGCAUGGUUCAAUAGUGAAAGACGGUUUUGCUGUCACUUAUAGAUGGAUCCGCGCCGCAUUAGCUAGUUGGUAAGGUAACGGCUUACCAAGGCAACGAUGCGUAGCCGACCUGAGAGGGUGACCGGCCACACUGGAACUGAGACACGGUCCAGACUCCUACGGGAGGCAGCAGCAGGGAAUUUUCCGCAAUGGGCGAAAGCCUGACGGAGCAACGCCGCGUGAGUGAUGAAGGUCUUCGGAUCGUAAAACUCUGUUAUUAGGGAAGAACAAAUGUGUAAGUAACUAUGCACGUCUUGACGGUACCUAAUCAGAAAGCCACGGCUAACUACGUG
Molecule: ribosomal RNA, 497 nt
Filed under: uncultured bacterium
Lineage: Bacteria
Description: partial 16S ribosomal RNA
Rfam family: Bacterial small subunit ribosomal RNA
Source: RNAcentral